RNAcentral lists this ribosomal RNA (460 nucleotides) under uncultured bacterium. RNAcentral's name for it is "partial 16S ribosomal RNA". It matches the Rfam family "Bacterial small subunit ribosomal RNA", at positions 338 to 795 of the family's 1533-position model. The record is from RNAcentral.
CCUACGGGAGGCAGCAGUGAGGAAUAUUGGUCAAUGGACGAGAGUCUGAACCAGCCAAGUAGCGUGAAGGAUGACUGCCCUAUGGGUUGUAAACUUCUUUUAUAUGGGAAUAAAAUGUUCCACGUGUGGGAUUUUGUAUGUACCAUAUGAAUAAGGAUCGGCUAACUCCGUGCCAGCAGCCGCGGUAAUACGGAGGAUCCGAGCGUUAUCCGGAUUUAUUGGGUUUAAAGGGAGCGUAGGUGGAUUGUUAAGUCAGUUGUGAAAGUUUGCGGCUCAACCGUAAAAUUGCAGUUGAAACUGGCAGUCUUGAGGACAGUAGAGGGGGGCAGAAUUCGUGGUGUAGCGGUGAAAUGCUUAGAUAUCACGAAGAACUCCGAUUGCGAAGGCAGUUCACUGGACUGCAACUGACACUGAGGCUCGAAAGUGUGGGUAUCAAACAGGAUUAGAUACCCUAGUAGUC